GACGGGGGGGGCAAGUGUUCUUCGGAAUGACUGGGCGUAAAGGGCACGUAGGCGGUGAAUCGGGUUGAAAGUGAAAGUCGCCAAAAACUGGCGGAAUGCUCUCGAAACCAAUUCACUUGGGUGAGACAGAGGAGAGUGGAAUUUCGUGUGUAGGGGUGAAAUCCGUAGAUCUACGAAGGAACGCCAAAAGCGAAGGCAGCUCUCUGGGUCCCUACCGACGCUGGGGUGCGAAAGCGUGGGGAGCAAACAGG
RNAcentral lists this ribosomal RNA (251 nucleotides) under uncultured bacterium. RNAcentral's name for it is "partial 16S ribosomal RNA". It matches the Rfam family "Bacterial small subunit ribosomal RNA", at positions 524 to 776 of the family's 1533-position model. The record is from RNAcentral.